This 73-nucleotide transfer RNA is filed under the name Zootermopsis nevadensis. It matches the Rfam family "tRNA". Rfam says of the family: Transfer RNA (tRNA) molecules are approximately 80 nucleotides in length. Their secondary structure includes four short double-helical elements and three loops (D, anti-codon, and T loops). Further hydrogen bonds mediate the characteristic L-shaped molecular structure. tRNAs have two regions of fundamental functional importance: the anti-codon, which is responsible for specific mRNA codon recognition, and the 3' end, to which the tRNAs corresponding amino acid is attached (by aminoacyl-tRNA synthetases). tRNAs cope with the degeneracy of the genetic code in two manners: having more than one tRNA (with a specific anti-codon) for a particular amino acid; and 'wobble' base-pairing, i.e. permitting non-standard base-pairing at the 3rd anti-codon position. The record is from Rfam by way of RNAcentral. Lineage: Eukaryota; Metazoa; Arthropoda; Insecta; Blattodea; Termopsidae.
GCCACGGUGGUCUAGCGGUUAGAACGCUGGCCUUGUAAGCCUGGGGUCCCGGGUUCGAUUCCCGGUGGUGCCC